GAGCCAACGUAGGCAAACAGCUGCCACCACCCUCACCAUGAAAAUAGAAGGUGCCUCGGUGGUCCUUGCUCUGGCAUUUUUCUGCUUCUUCUCAGAUGUUGCCAGUCAAGCUUCAAUUAAGAACGAAUGCAGGAAAAUUUGGUCACUCCUGCGCAGCGGGAAGUUUUCCUGCCCCACCACCAAGGAGCCCUUCAGCAGCCCAAAUAAAAAAGGAGACCUCAACAAGUGCAUGAUGUGCCAAAGGCUGCUGGAAAGAGACUCAAAAACCCAGGGGAGUGGUGGAGAGAUGGACAGGAAUGUGAACUCCUUGGGAAAGGAUGAGUGUCGGGAGUUUCGGGAUCUGUUCAACAGAGGGAAACUUUCCUGCACCAGGGAGAACGACCCAGUCCGGGAUGCCUCUGGGAAGCAGCACAGCAAUAAGUGCAUCAUGUGUGCAGAGAAGUUCAAAAGGGAGAAUGAGCAGAAGUUAUCUAAAAACAGACAAGGAAAAGAUAAGGAUGACUGCAGCGAGUUCCGCUCCCAGUUUGAGGCUGGCGGCCGCCUGUCCUGCACCAGGGAGAACGCCCCUGUCCGGGACGCCUCUGGCAGGCAGCACACCAACAAGUGCCUCAUGUGUGCUGAGAAGUUCAAAAAGGAAGCUCAGAGAGGGGGUGGAACUCUCCAGCGCAACAAAUUGCCCACUUCAGAGAGGACAAAGCAGAAGAACUGUGGUGGCUCACGGCAGGGUGUAAACGAGAGGCGUCCCUUCUCCUCGGGCAGAGGCCCACAAGUCCAGCGUGGCAGGAACUGCAACCGGCCACCGGGCCGCAAGUCACAGAGCAGAGACAGCCAGGAGGACCCCACGCUGGACUGUGAUCGAAUUCUGCAUGGGGUAAAGGGUGGAAGGAUUUUCUGCAGCGAAUCCUCACAACCAGUCUGUGGCACUGAUGGGAAAACAUACAAAAAUGAAUGUGACUUGUGUUCAGCUGCCAUGAGAGCUUCAAACUUCAUCACGGUAAACUAUCGAGGCGAGUGCCGAGAGCCCGGCCCUGCAGUGGUUGGCAUCGUGGGAUAAGCUAUCUUUUUUUGGAGUAAUGGAGUUCAGACUGCCAGCAAACACCAGGGAUCAGCUGUGACAAAAGAGCGAGUAAAGAAGCGUCGAUGUCGAGCAUCAGGGGAGCUGCCGAGCCCCCAGGACUGCCAGAGCUGCCUCCAUCCCCUUCUGCAGCCCACGGGGCCUGUCCUUGCUCAGGUGGAGGGCGAGAGGCUGUGGGGACUCAGUGCUGCCUUCCCAGGUGUGCCCCGUGCGUGCUGCUGCAGUCCCUGCCGCCUCGCUGUGUCUAAAUGUGCUUCUCCAAUAAAGAUAACUCCUCAGCUUCAUGUCACUUUUCUUCACUCAGCCUCGGGGAGGGACACAGCAGUCCCUGCUCUGGCUUUGCACCAUGUGCUCCUUAGGCAAUGAGCACCCUGAGGUGCAGCAGCUGCUGUAAAUACCUGGCGAAGAUGUUGGACCCAAGGAGGAAGAGUGUGGUCUGGGGUUUUGUGAGGAGGGGCCAGGGGUCAGUUCUCUCUGGCUCUUAUGGGGUCUUGGGUCAAUCACUUCACUGCCCUAUCAGCCCUUUUCUCCUGCCUGUAAAAUGAACA
Molecule: RNA transcript, 1623 nt
Organism: Passer montanus (Eurasian tree sparrow)
Lineage: Eukaryota; Metazoa; Chordata; Aves; Passeriformes; Passeridae
Gene name: serine protease inhibitor Kazal-type 5-like
Exons: 15
Source: RefSeq, a predicted model, not a curated record